Molecule: ribosomal RNA, 253 nt
Filed under: uncultured bacterium
Lineage: Bacteria
Description: partial 16S ribosomal RNA
Rfam family: Bacterial small subunit ribosomal RNA
Source: RNAcentral
GACGAACCGUGCGAACGUUGUUCGGAAUCACUGGGCUUAAAGGGCGCGUAGGCGGGUUUUCAAGUCUGUGGUGAAAUCCUCCAGCUUAACUGGAGAAGUGCCGUGGAUACUGGAGACCUCGAGGAGGGUAGGGGCAUCUGGAACAGCCGGUGGAGCGGUGAAAUGCGUUGAUAUCGGCUGGAACUCCGACGGCGAAGGCAAGGUGCUGGACCCUCUCUGACGCUGAGGCGCGAAAGCCAGGGGAGCGAACGGG